GCCCAUGUUGCUCAGUGGAUUGAGUGUUAGCCUACACACCAAAGGGUCAUGGGUUCAAUUCCCUGUCAAGGGCA
This is a non-coding RNA of Myotis lucifugus (little brown bat), 74 nucleotides long. Lineage: Eukaryota; Metazoa; Chordata; Mammalia; Chiroptera; Vespertilionidae. The record is from Rfam.